Non-coding RNA from Paramuricea clavata, 891 nucleotides. NCBI's taxonomy places the organism in Eukaryota, Metazoa, Cnidaria, Anthozoa, Malacalcyonacea, Plexauridae. The record is from the annotation of a GenBank genome assembly.
GUCGUUUGACUUAGGUAAACCGAAAUCACAAUAAUCAAUCGCCCUAUCCUGUGGAAUUGUUUAGAAAAUUAGUACUACCUGAAUUCGCCGUUCUAAGUUUUCUAAUAUAAGUCGAAAUUGAUUUAGCAAUAAUUAUAUUACCUAAUGGCUAAUUCCUGUUUAAAUAAAGUCCCUUUGCAUUAAGAUAGGUUGCAUCAACAGUAAUUUUGGUAACCAUGUGAUCAAAAAUGUCAUUCACCAGAUUUACUUUGACUUAACGAUUUGGCUUAUCAAUUCGGCACUGCAAUACAAAAAUAUUAAAUUAAACGUUCACUCAAACAUGUCUGUUUUAAUAAUCUUUAGAUGUCAACGAAUGUGCUUUAUUUCUUCACAACUGUCAUUCCAACGCUUCUUGUACUAAUACUGAUGGAUCUUUUCUUUGUACAUGUGAUGGUGGAUAUACUGGAAAUGGAACUGUUUGCGAAGGUAAAUUGGUACCAUACAAUUUGACUCUGCAUGCUCUUUAAGAGGGAAAUCUCCCACACAGAAAUGAGAUAUCUGCUCUUUGCUGAUUUUUGUUGAUCACGUUGUUGCAAAAAUGUGCGCUUGCGUAUGCACGAACUCAAGAAACAACCCUCGUUUUUUUUAUACACUACCGGAUCAGUUUGUCAAAAAUUUUCAAGUCGAGUUUUGUACCGUUUUAUCCUGUAUACUUUUAUCUUAAUGUUUUCAGAUGAGAUAAUCUAAUUGUCGCGGGUCGCGGGUUUUAUUCGCGGGUCGACGGAACAAAAGAAGCCCGCUAUAUAACAUGCUGUACAAAGGCUGAUUAUGACAAGAAGUUGUUGGCAUGCAACAUUUGAGAAUAGUGAAACUGGCAAAGCAGUUGCAGUAUUUACUUCCUGGCGUCGUUCU